AGGAAAGAGGGAAAGCCUCUAGACACUGAGCUGCAGCCUCUUGGCCCAUCCCCCCCCGAGGGAGCCGGGGAGUUGAGGCUGCGGGCACUCUGUGUCCCUCCCCACGCGUGAUGGCGCCCCGCGGGGAGGGAACAGUGCCCGGGGCAAGGAGCCUCUGCGCUCUAGCCAGUGCUCGUUGCUGCCUUGGCAUUUUCUAAGGGGAGGGACUGAGUCUGGGAAGGGGGAGGUGCGCUCCCUCUCGGGCUCCGGCGCUUCGCCUUCAACCCGCCAGUACUUUUAGUAGAGAAACUGAGACCCUAGAGUGGAGAGGUCUUGGCGCAGAUACACUCAGAUCCCCCCAGGAGUCUUACUAUAUAGCCCAUGCUGUUCUUCAGCUCCCGGGAUCAAACCUCCUUAGUCAGCUUCCAGACUAAAAGGGAAAAAAGGUGGAACUGCACAGCUGUGUUUUGGAACAGUCCUUUCAGUCCCUCCAAAACUCGUCGAAGCAGCUCCGGAAUUCCUGGGAAGAGGGUUUUGAUGGCUGCUUGGAGCUCAGGGUGUGGUUUGAGCUCCUCCCCAAAAGCCAGUGCCACUGCCUCAAAGGUAACAUCGUCAUGAGUGGGGCCGAUGCCCCCCGCGGUGAGGACGUGAGUGAAGCGCUUGGAGAAUGAGGUAAUCUCGGAUGCAAUGGUGGCUACUUCAUCAGGUACAACAGAGACUCGGCAAACCUGGACCCCCAGGGAUCGCAGCG
Mastomys coucha (southern multimammate mouse) is the source of this 730-nucleotide long non-coding RNA. RefSeq lists it as uncharacterized. The transcript is spliced from 4 exons. Lineage: Eukaryota; Metazoa; Chordata; Mammalia; Rodentia; Muridae. The record is from RefSeq and is a predicted model, not a curated record.